AGUUUGAUCAUGGCUCAGGAUGAACGCUGGCGGCGUGCUUAACACAUGCAAGUCGAACGGACCUCUUGUAGCAGUAUGAGAGGUGAGUGGCAAACGGGUGCGUAACACGUGGGUACCUACCUCGAAGUGUGGAAUAACGACCCGAAAGGGUCGCUAAUACCGCAUGUGCUCGGGAGAGUAAAGUCUGUCGCAAGACCGACGCUUCGAGAGGGGCCUGCGUCCCAUCAGGUAGUUGGUGAGGUAAUGGCCCACCAAGCCGAUGACGGGUAGCUGGUCUGAGAGGACGAUCAGCCACACUGGCACUGAGACACGGGCCAGACUCCUACGGGAGGCAGCAGUGAGGAAUAUUGCACAAUGGGCGAAAGCCUGAUGCAGCAACGCCGCGUGCGGGAGGAAGGCCUUCGGGUCGUAAACCGCUUUUCGGGGGGACGAGUGAGGACGGUACCCCCGGAAUAAGUCUCGGCUAACUACGUGCCAGCAGCCGCGGUAAAACGUAGGAGGCGAGCGUUAUCCGGAUUCACUGGGCGUAAAGCGCGUGUAGGUGGUUCGCUAAGUCGAAUGUGAAAGCCCCCGGCUUAACUGGGGGAGGUCAAUCGAUACUGGUGGACUUGAGGGUAGGAGAGGAAGGUGGAAUUCCCGGUGUAGCGGUGGAAUGCGUA
This 659-nucleotide ribosomal RNA is filed under the name uncultured bacterium. RNAcentral's name for it is "bacterial SSU rRNA". It matches the Rfam family "Bacterial small subunit ribosomal RNA", at positions 10 to 692 of the family's 1533-position model. The record is from RNAcentral.